RNAcentral lists this ribosomal RNA (244 nucleotides) under Bicosoecida sp. CB-2014. RNAcentral's name for it is "partial Bacterial large subunit ribosomal RNA". It matches the Rfam family "Bacterial large subunit ribosomal RNA", at positions 1079 to 1330 of the family's 2925-position model. Lineage: Eukaryota; Bigyra; Bicosoecida. The record is from RNAcentral.
GAUUUCAAAGACAGCUAGGAUGUUGGCUUAGAAGCAGCCAUACAUUAAAAGAGUGCGUAAUAGCUCACUGGUCGAGUGACCCUGCGCCGAAAAUUUAACGGGGCUAAAUCGUACACCGAAGCUUGGGAUGCAGUAAUGCAUGGUAGGAGAGCGUCGUAUAAGGGGUGAAGUCAGAGCGUAAGCGUUGGUGGACUUUAUACGAGUGAGAAUGCCGGAAUGAGUAGCGAGAAAUAUGUGAGAAUCA